CCGGGGGCGCGGCUGCGGCGGCGGCGGCCGCCGUACAGUGACCUCGCUACCAGGCUUCGCCUCCGCCCCGGGCCAGCCGCCGGGCCCUUGCCUGCGCGGUGGCCGCCGGCCACCUGCGGGAGCGCUCCGGCCCGGAUGUCACCUGCUCACCCGGGGCGCCGCUCCGGGCUAAGCUGGGUCACCUGGCGGGCGGCUUCUCUGGGGGUAUCUGAUGCCCUCUGCCCUGUCCCCCGCUCAUUGUCCCAGGGGGCGGCACCAUCUCGUUUCCCUGGGGGCCAAGGGCCCCGGCUCCAAGUUUUCUAUUGUCUGUCGCUGGACGGAGUGUCUGCGACCCGCAGAGGCUAGAUGCCUGGGCGGACACCUGAUUCCCUGGGGUUCGGGGUGGAGGCGCCUGGCGUGGUAGUGGGGAGAGCGUGGGAGCUCUGCCCAGCGGUGGGAAGGAGCUCCCCGGCCCAUGAGACUGAGAGGGCUCCCACGUUGGCUUUCAGAUUCACCUGGAGGUGAUCGGAGCAAAUUAGGUAUUAAUUAGGCUCUUCCAAACCUGGUGAAGGUGUGCAUACCUCCCCUCAGCCCUCCCCGGGGCGCGGAGCAGAAGUUCCGAAGCAGUCUUGCGGUGGGGGAGCUGAAUGGGGGCUCUUCCUCUGGAUGAGGAUCCCAGCCUGAAGGCAAGACUAGGUCGCCUUAAACAACUGUAUCCCCCACCCACCAAGAGACAUAGACUCCAGGUUUUCGCUUGGAAGGAUUGUGAGCACUGUGUGUGUGUGUGUGUGUGUGUGUGCGCGCGUGUGUGUGCUUGCGCGCACGGGCGCGCGUGUGUGUUGGGGGCGGGGAACAACACCCUGGCUUUUUCCUGCAAAGGGUGGGACUGGGGAUGACCAGCUCCUUGGAGGUGGAUUUUUCUGUGCAUAGAGAUGGACCAGGGCCCUGUGUUACUAAUCCAAAGGAAAUAUAACCAGCCGUGAGAGCUGGCUGGAGGUGGGAAUUGGGGGCGGUGGGGAGAUUUUUUUUUUUUUUUUUAAUGUGUAUUUAGGGAGCUUCUCUGGCUCCAGCCCAGCCCCAGUUUGCCUCAACAGAUCCGGGGAGGUGGUGUUUAAUUAAAAGCUCGGCUUCCAAAACGAGUGGGUAGGUUUGGAAAGCUGUGCAGCGAGUGGGUGUGGACAGCCCCUCUCCAGCCGCUGCCUGGGCGCCUGGAGGAGCUUUUGUCUGUUGAAGUGUAAGGUUUGGAGAGGGUUGGGCCUCUGAGAUGGACUUCGGGAAGGAAUGCUCAGCUGUCAUGGCCUGCGUUGCCCUCUUAGAACCAACUGCCACCUCACACAGGGUGAACUUUUCCAAGGUGCCUGCAUCCUGUCUUGUCCAUUUUGAAAUCCUUCUGCAGAGCCUAUGCCUUUUGUCAGAAAUUGAUAUUCGUGUUGCGUUAUCUUCAGCGAGACCCUGCUUGCCCAGGAAUGCCUCUAAUCCAGCCCCUUGGAAUUAGAUGGAUUAUUCCCUGUUCAAAGACAGCCCCUUUCAUUCCUUUGCCCCUGAUCCCCAUGGAAUAAUUGGAGUGCUCUUUUGAGACAAAGCUUGGUGUUCCCUCUGUGGACUCUGGGAUAUUUCUUGUUAACUGAAAUUUGGCCGGCCUUAAUGAUCAAACGAGAUUUGGUUUGAGGCACACGUGUGUAUUCUCAUCACCAGGGGAAGAAUUUGAGAUGGAUUGAGGGGUGGGGAGAGCUGCUGGUGUGUUUUGGAGGAGAGAAAUGGAUGUUUCCAGUUUCUCUGUAAUAACAAGGACCCAGGGACCUAACCCAUCUGCCCACUGCAGUCCCAGGGUGUUCACCUCCGGAGUUUUUUCCUCGCUCUUUGUUCCUUAAUCUAGAAUCCAGGCUCAGUUCUUGCCAUUUAUGGGUUUGAACCCAAAGCCCUUCAGAAAGUAACCCAUCUUGGGGUAGGCCCUUCUGCUUUCCACCUGCCAUCCUGGGGCUGCUCUGCUUCUCCCUCUGCAAGAUUCCAGUUAAACAUAAAGACUUAUUUAAGGGCCUUUUAGGGCUGGAUCUAUAGUUUGUGGUUCCUGUGUUCCCCUCCCUUUGAACUGAGUCAGGUUUGUUCAACAUCCUGUGGGAAAGGCCUUUAUUUUAAAGUCCUUUUUGUUUGUUUGUUUGUUUUGGCAGUCAAAGAUUUUAAAAGUGAAUUGGGGGGGUGGGAGGGCAGGCGGGGGGAUGAAAACAUGCCUUGGAGUCUGCAGAAUUUCAGACUUUUGGGGAAUAGAGAGAUAAGGAGAAGGGGGGGGUGUCUGGUUUACAAGAUUGUUUAUGCCUAGGACAGUUGCUGAAGGUUUUCCUGGAGUUUUCAAAAGACUUCUUCAUAGAUCAGAUGGCCGUUGCACUUUCAAAGGGAUUUUUAAAAUUUGGACCUCGUUGCCAGCCACAACAUCACUUUUUUAAUACCCCAAAUCAGUGAUCUUGCUGCUGCUUCUCCUUUUCUUUUCUUUGAACUCUCAUGACAGGUUUAGGUCACCUUUGGUCCCCUUUCUGCUUGCUUUGAAGGACACAUGUAAAUAUUGGCACCCCAUCUGGAAUGCCGUCCUGAGAACAUUUUUAGGUUAUUUUCUCAGAAGUGAGGUUGAGGGGCGGGUGAGGAAUGGGUAAGGAAAAAAAUUUUUUUUUUUUUUAAGUGGCAUUUGAUUCUCCAAAAUGUACAGCCGUGCAGGAAGGGAGUCAGUUUCCUCUUUAAAGAAAAGAAAGAAAGAAAGAAAGAAAGAAAGAAACAACAAAAAAAAGGAGUAAUUGAGAGACCUUGCACCAUCCAUCUUUCCAAACCAAAGAACCUCCAGACGCAGAAAAGCUGCCGAGGAUUCUUUCUGCUUUUUUCUGAUGACCCUUCAUCUGGCUCGGUCCUGGGCUUUCGGGGUGUGUCUUUUAUCCUUUUCAGGGGGAAUGGGUGCAGUGAGGAAACCCUCACUUUUCUUCCACUGGGAUCCAGCAGCAGCUGUUAAAUAACUUAUUGAUUCCCUGACGAGAGGAAACGUUGUGUUUCUUUUUCCACCCUGCUGUGGUGGUCACUAAUGAACGGUGGUGUGCAAAAUCGCUUACUGGCUGCCUUUCCGCCGUCCACAUAAAUCAAGUUGUCUGGUGUGAGCUAGUCCCCAAAAAGAAGGGGAGACGAGAUUCAUGGGGCUACAGGCGAGGUUUGUCUAGGGGGACAGUAGCUUGGAAGUGACUGUGUGUGGAAGCCCAGAUCACUAACUGCUGAUGUUUAAACACUUGACGGCAUUAAGGAGAUCCUGGAAUCUUUCUGGAAUUUCUCUCCAAGCCCCCGGAAAGACAGCCUAAUGCUGCAAACAGCAGAUCUGUGCCAUUCCUUUUUUUUUUUUUUUUUUCUUUUUAAUUGAGCUGUAGGUGACAUAUAUUAGUUUCAGAUGUGCACCAUCCUGAUUCGAUACUCAUAUCUUUUGAUUUUUUUUAGUUAGGUCAUGGAACCAGCAUAUAGAAUUUGUGAUGUUUAUUGAGCUUUUAAGACAGGGACACCCUGGUCCAACCUGAGGGCAGCUUACCCUGUAGAGGUCUGCCGUCUUUUAAUAAUUAACUCAGUUUAAAAAAAGAAAAGAGAGUCGGAUGCAAAAAUCGAAUGUUUUCCUCUGCCUUGUUGCUCAAGAAUCAGCAUGUCAGGAGCUGUGCGGGGCCUGAUGGAGGGAGAACUUUGUACUAGGUUGGAGAGUGUGUGUUCGGGGUUAUUAUAUAGCACGACUGGGGGUGGAGAAAAAAAAAACCACCCAACCACGCCUCAAAUUCCCCACCCCACGUCUCACUUUAGACAGGGGUGUCCUGUUACCAGCACCUGUGCCCCGCAGAAUAGCGGCCUUGUUCGGUUUUCCUCCACUGCCCCCACUGCACUUUGCCACCGGUAUCCUCUCUCCUAAGUUCUGCCUAAAAUUAGACCGGCUAAAGGGACGUCUUGAAUUCCAUGGAAAUCUUUUGUGCAUCGGAGACACGUCAUGAUAUUUCCCCUGACUUAUCACAAGAUCAAGAGUGUGGGUGGUGGGUUCAGGGCUGGAUCAUGACCUCAGGGUUUUUUUGGUUGGUGGGUUGGUUGGUUGUCUUCCCCUUACUGUUUUGCUUUGCCUUUGGGGUUCCUGUUGGACAGAGUUCAGUUCCUCAGUGUUUCUUGAGGACCUGCUGUGUGGAAGGCCUUUUGCUGGGCCAUGAGGAGCCAGAGACAAAAAGGCUGCCCUUGGAGAGCUGCUUGAACAGCUGCAUUCAAUAUGGCGGCCCUGCAGGAAGGGCUGCUGUCCAGCCUGGGGAAGGGCCUUGGUCAGCCCCUGCAGGCCUUCGUUUUCCUCGAGGAAGAUACUGAAAACCCAGCCCAGGCCUUCACCCGUGGCCAGGUGCUCCGAGGGAGGCGGGCUGCUCUGUAAAUGGUGACACACAAAGGCAGACAAGCAAAGCCCUCGUAAAGCACAAAUGGGCCCCAUGUUGGCUUUUCUCUUGGCAAACGGCUGUGUUUGUCCAGGCUUUUACGGCUUCCUCAGUUCGGGCCUGUGGGAGAAGAAGGAGAAGUGAAGAUGCCAUAAAACCAGCAGCAGGGAACUGCCCGAAUGGGGCCUGUUCGGAGAUUGAGGGCCUCUUCUCUGUAGCUCAACAUCUGGGGGUUUUCAGGUGCAAAUCUGCUUUGUCCGGGUGUGGGAAGAAGUCAUUUUUUUGGGUCUUGGCUUGAGUGUUUCUGUGGGGAACAUCCCUUAUAUGUCCUAUUUAACCAAAUUGUUUAGAACUUGUUGUCGCUUGACACUGGGAACCUUUAUGCUCUGAGAUUCUAGUGGGUAAUGGGCCACAUGGAGAGAGAGGGUCAUUCCUCGUCCCGUUUUGUCUGGGAGGUAGACUGAGUUUGGAUUUUGCCCGGUUCAGCCAUCACUUCGUUGUUAGGAUAACGUGUGCUUCUUGUCCUACAGUAUUGACUGAACAUCCGUGAUGUUGCAAGCACAGAGCUUGAUGCUGUGAUUUCAGGAUGGGCGAGAGCGGGCCAAAUUCUUUGUGUAGCAAGACCUUCAAAUCGGGGAUGGAAAAAUGAGAUCAUUUUGGGUUUGCCAUUACUUCUCGGAACUGCCUUCAGGACACUUUCCCCUAAACCCCACACCUUUGCAAAAACAAAGAAAUACCUCUCCCUGAACCAGACAAAAGCCAAAGGACAGAUUCGGCUGCCUAUGACAGCAGACUGGACGCAUUCAGGACUCCUUAAAGGGAACUGACUGAUGCCCGAAGCAGUUUAACUCAGAUUCUCAGAUUGCACUGCCGAUAUGGCCUUAUUAAGUAGCAAACUGGAGAAACAAAUGCAAUAAAUUAAUUGGAUGAGCAC
Non-coding RNA from Sus scrofa (pig), 5325 nucleotides. The record is from RefSeq and is a predicted model, not a curated record. Lineage: Eukaryota; Metazoa; Chordata; Mammalia; Artiodactyla; Suidae.